This 109-nucleotide Y RNA is filed under the name Prolemur simus (greater bamboo lemur). Its description in RNAcentral is "Y RNA (ENSPSMG00000001953.1)". It matches the Rfam family "Y RNA". Rfam says of the family: Y RNAs are components of the Ro ribonucleoprotein particle (Ro RNP), in association with Ro60 and La proteins. The Y RNAs and Ro60 and La proteins are well conserved, but the function of the Ro RNP is not known. In humans the RNA component can be one of four small RNAs -- hY1, hY3, hY4 and hY5. The record is from Rfam by way of RNAcentral. Lineage: Eukaryota; Metazoa; Chordata; Mammalia; Primates; Lemuridae.
GGCUGGUCCAAAGGUGGUGAGUUAUCUCAAUUGAUUGCUCACUGUUACAGAUCGAACUCCUUGUUUUACUCUUUCCCUCCUUCUCACUACUUCACCUGUCUAGUCUUAA